Molecule: long non-coding RNA, 847 nt
Filed under: Coffea arabica (coffee)
Lineage: Eukaryota; Viridiplantae; Streptophyta; Magnoliopsida; Gentianales; Rubiaceae
Description: long non-coding RNA (CARA_LNC005265)
Source: RNAcentral
AAUGCAAAAGAAUACCAUAUGAACUUAUCAUUUUAGAUUUAAGAUGUAUACAGUUGGUAAAUGAGUAAAACCACUAAUCAGCAAAUCAGUUAAUAAAAGACUCAAAGAAUGUAAAAAUCAAAUUUCUGUUGUGCAGCCUUUGUUCCGUGGUAGAGAAUCUGUUUAUUGCAUCUGAGCUUCCAUUUGAUUCUUUGGAGAAUUAGUAUUUCGUGGCCAUGCGAAGCAAUUGACAUGAGGAACACUGCACAAGGAUUGUCCUCCGUCUCUGAUUCUUUUCCAAUUCCACUCUGAUCUAGUUGGCCUUUGAUAGACAGAGAUAGAACUUUGACAUCUGGAGAUGUAAACAUAUGCAAAUGACUUGAACCAGCUCCAUCAUCUCAUCACAGCAGGGAAUAAGAGUGCCGAAGUACUGUGACUACGGUUGCUGUAUUUGAUUUGUGCCAAAGUAAGAGAGCCUUUAGACUUUUUCCCAUAAUGUUUGAAAGAAACUAUUGAAAUUCAAAAGAAGAUAUCAAAAGGUAGCCUCCCUUGCUGCUGAUGCUGUACCAUGUAUAUCAGUAUAUGUCCACAAAUCAGGCCCUGUACACCUUUGCACCCUUCUCUUUAGCACAUUCAGCCAUCCAACUCACAGACUGGCUGUCAUGGUCAGACAUAGUCAACAUUCAGCCAUCCAACUCAAGAACCUUUUCCUCUCCUGCUCUUCUUGUCCAUCAUCAAGGUUGCACGAGAAUGAUAUAGGCUUCCAUAGUGAAAGAUGCAUUAACACGAAUCUUUCUACAAAACCAAACAUUUUUCUACAAGAAGAAAGAGCUAAGAAGAAACCCAGCAAGGAAACUGCAACAUUCCG